Molecule: ribosomal RNA, 547 nt
Filed under: Escherichia coli
Lineage: Bacteria; Pseudomonadati; Pseudomonadota; Gammaproteobacteria; Enterobacterales; Enterobacteriaceae
Description: partial 23S ribosomal RNA
Rfam family: Bacterial large subunit ribosomal RNA
Source: RNAcentral
GGGACACGUGGUAUCCUGUCUGAAUAUGGGGGGACCAUCCUCCAAGGCUAAAUACUCCUGACUGACCGAUAGUGAACCAGUACCGUGAGGGAAAGGCGAAAAGAACCCCGGCGAGGGGAGUGAAAAAGAACCUGAAACCGUGUACGUACAAGCAGUGGGAGCACGCUUAGGCGUGUGACUGCGUACCUUUUGUAUAAUGGGUCAGCGACUUAUAUUCUGUAGCAAGGUUAACCGAAUAGGGGAGCCGAAGGGAAACCGAGUCUUAACUGGGCGUUAAGUUGCAGGGUAUAGACCCGAAACCCGGUGAUCUAGCCAUGGGCAGGUUGAAGGUUGGGUAACACUAACUGGAGGACCGAACCGACUAAUGUUGAAAAAUUAGCGGAUGACUUGUGGCUGGGGGUGAAAGGCCAAUCAAACCGGGAGAUAGCUGGUUCUCCCCGAAAGCUAUUUAGGUAGCGCCUCGUGAAUUCAUCUCCGGGGGUAGAGCACUGUUUCGGCAAGGGGGUCAUCCCGACUUACCAACCCGAUGCAAACUGCGAAUACCGGA